Molecule: long non-coding RNA, 1775 nt
Filed under: Taeniopygia guttata (zebra finch)
Lineage: Eukaryota; Metazoa; Chordata; Aves; Passeriformes; Estrildidae
Description: lncRNA (ENSTGUG00000024820.1)
Source: RNAcentral
GCUGAGGGUCUCCAAGGGGCGCGGAGCCCUGGGUUGCCCAGUCCCAGGAGAGCUGCUCUCUGAGGAGGACGCAGCUCCCUGGUUCUGUCUGCGCCAGACGCCAACAGCCACAGACAACAGAGACGAGGACAAAGGCAACUCCAGCUCCCAGUCCAUCCGACCUGUGCCCAUCUGGCUCUUUGCUGAAAUGGACCGCAAGCUUUCCCACGACGAUGUCCAGAAGUUUUCCCACGGGGAAGGUGAGAGGUUUGCAGAACUGUCACCAUGCGAACAAGAGCUCUUCUCCCACAUGUCCCAGUGGAAAAAUAGCAGAGAACCAGACUUCUACCGAGUGAUAGACAGCAGUGACAACGAGCUGUUGCAAGGACCAGACGCCAGAGCACAAGAGCUGCCCCAGUGGCCAGAUAUUGAAGACCAAAAGCUGUCCCGACGGCAGGAACAUGUGAGCAGUCAGGAGCUGUCCCAAUGGAGAAAGGACAUAGCCGUGCAAGCGAGUCCCACGGAGCAGAACAUCGACUGGGAGAUGCUGGGCGAGGUGCUGCAGGAGGUCCAGGCACUGAAGCUGGAGCUGCUUGCCCUUCAACAGGUGUUGGCUGGGGACGAAUCUGUAGACACAGCCAAAAAUGAAGAGAGCUCAGUGCUUUCCCCACACAGCACCCCCAGCCUCUGGCCUGCCCAGCUGAGUUCCCAAGCCCCCAGGGAGCAGCAGGAGGAGGGGGCAGCAUCAGCAUCUGUGCGGGCAGUGCAGGAGAGCGAGGAUGGGACCUUGACUGGGGAGGACAAAGACUGGGAAGAUGACAUCGAUUCAGAGCUUUCCCAGUGGGAAAAUAAGGAACAGGCAGAGGUGUCCCACAGAGAAAUGAACAACUCCCAAGAAGUGUCCCAGGGGCAAGAGUGCCCUGAGCAGGAGCCGUGCAGCCAAGGGCCGGCGCCUGCCCCGCACAGCCCCCCCAGCCCCUGGCCUGCCCGGCUGGGAGCCCAGGCCCUCCGCGGGCAGCCGGCUGCCCCCGGGAAACGUCCCUCCCGCUUCAGGCGGGCGCUGCGGGCGCUGCGGGGGCUGUUCUGCUGUUCCUGCCUCAGACCACGCACAGAGGAGUAAAACGGACAUGGGAAAAAAUAAAGAGGACAAAGAUGACAUGGCAGAUGAAGAAGAUGAAGACAGAGAAGAAGAUGAAGACAAAUAGGAUGAAGAAGAUGAAGAAGAGAAAAAAGAGGAAGAAGACAAAGAUGAAGAGUAAAAAGACAAGACAGAGAACAUUUAUUUAAGAAUAGAUAGAAGAAGUAUAAUAAUAAGAAUUUAGUAAUACUUAGAAGAAGAGUACUAGGAAUAGGAAUAGGAAUUUCAAAAUAUGUAGAAGAAGAAGUAUAGGAAUAAGAAUUUUAAAAUAUGUAGUAGAAGAAGAAAAAUAAGAAUAGGAAUAGGAAUAAGGAUAUAAAAAUACAUAGAAGUAGCAAAGAAGAAGAAUAGUAAGAAAGAGUAGGAAGAAGAAGAAGAGCCAUAAGAAGAAUAAGAAUAGAAAAAUGAAGAGAAAAUUGAAGUAAUAAGUAAAAUUAGCAAAUAAUUUAUUUUUAUUACAUAUUGUAUAUUUCUAUUUCAGUCUAUGAAAUAAAAACAUUAGUAUACAUUAUGUUGUAAUUACAAUAUAUUAUAAUGUCCCCACGCUGUUCCCGUUAUUGAAGAAUCUGUGUGUUUUCUAACAAUGUCUUACAGAACCCCAGAAUCCCUGGGGCUGGAAAAGCUCUCCCAGCCCAUGGAGUCCCAGCUGGGCCCCAUG